Molecule: ribosomal RNA, 422 nt
Filed under: uncultured Pseudoflavonifractor sp.
Lineage: Bacteria; Bacillati; Bacillota; Clostridia; Eubacteriales; Oscillospiraceae
Description: bacterial SSU rRNA
Rfam family: Bacterial small subunit ribosomal RNA
Source: RNAcentral
UGGGGAAUAUUGGGCAAUGGGCGCAAGCCUGACCCAGCAACGCCGCGUGAAGGAAGAAGGCUUUCGGGUUGUAAACUUCUUUUAUCAGGGACGAUAAUGACGGUACCUGAUGAAUAAGCUCCGGCUAACUACGUGCCAGCAGCCGCGGUAAUACGUAGGGAGCAAGCGUUAUCCGGAUUUACUGGGUGUAAAGGGCGUGUAGGCGGGACUGCAAGUCAGAUGUGAAAACUAUGGGCUUAACCCAUAGCCUGCAUUUGAAACUGUAGUUCUUGAGUGGUGGAGAGGCAAAUGGAAUUCCUAGUGUAGCGGUGAAAUGCGUAGAUAUUAGGAAGAACACCAGUGGCGAAGGCGAUUUGCUGGACACUAACUGACGCUGAGGCGCGAAAGCGUGGGGAGCAAACAGGAUUAGAUACCCUGGUAGU